GAUUAGCCUGCGUCCGAUUAGCUAGUUGGUAGGGUAAAGGCCUACCAAGGCGACGAUCGGUAGCUGGUCUGAGAGGAUGACCAGCCACACUGGAACUGAGACACGGUCCAGACUCCUACGGGAGGCAGCAGUGGGGAAUAUUGGACAAUGGGGGCAACCCUGAUCCAGCAAUGCCGCGUGUGUGAAGAAGGCCUGAGGGUUGUAAAGCACUUUCAGUGGGGAGGAGGAUUUGUAGGUUAAGAGCUAGCAAAUUGGACGUUACCCACAGAAGAAGCACCGGCUAACUCCGUGCCAGCAGCCGCGGUAAUACGGAGGGUGCGAGCGUUAAUCGGAAUUACUGGGCGUAAAGGGUGCGUAGGUGGUUUGUUAAGUUAUCUGUAAAAUCCCUGGGCUCAACCUGGGCAGGUCAGAUAAUACUGAUAAACUCGAGUAUAGGAGAGGGUAGUGGAAUUUCCGGUGUAGCGGUGAAAUGCGUAGAGAUCGGAAGGAACACCAGUGGCGAAGGCGGCUACCUGGCCUAAUACUGACACUGAGGCACGAAAGCGUGGGGAGCAAACAGGAUUAGAUACCCUGGUAGUCCACGCUGUAAACGAUGUCAACUAGCUGUUGG
RNAcentral lists this ribosomal RNA (610 nucleotides) under uncultured Legionella sp. RNAcentral describes it as "bacterial SSU rRNA". It matches the Rfam family "Bacterial small subunit ribosomal RNA", at positions 224 to 826 of the family's 1533-position model. The record is from RNAcentral. Lineage: Bacteria; Pseudomonadati; Pseudomonadota; Gammaproteobacteria; Legionellales; Legionellaceae.